RNAcentral lists this ribosomal RNA (735 nucleotides) under uncultured bacterium. Its description in RNAcentral is "bacterial SSU rRNA". It matches the Rfam family "Bacterial small subunit ribosomal RNA", at positions 563 to 1299 of the family's 1533-position model. The record is from RNAcentral.
AAGAGUUCGUAGGUGGUUGAAAAAGUUAGUGGUGAAAUCCCAGAGCUUAACUCUGGAACUGCCAUUAAAACUUUUCAGCUAGAGUAUGAUAGAGGAAAGCAGAAUUUCUAGUGUAGAGGUGAAAUUCGUAGAUAUUAGAAAGAAUACCAAUUGCGAAGGCAGCUUUCUGGAUCAUUACUGACACUGAGGAACGAAAGCAUGGGUAGCGAAGAGGAUUAGAUACCCUCGUAGUCCAUGCCGUAAACGAUGUGUGUUAGACGUUGGAAAUUUAUUUUCAGUGUCGCAGCGAAAGCGAUAAACACACCGCCUGGGGAGUACGACCGCAAGGUUAAAACUCAAAUGAAUUGACGGGGACCCGCACAAGUAGUGGAGCAUGUGGUUUAAUUCGAAGAUACGCGCAGAACCUUACCAACACUUGACAUGUUCGUCGCGACUCUAAGAGAUUAGAGUUUUCGGUUCGGCCGGACGAAACACAGGUGCUGCAUGGCUGUCGUCAGCUCGUGUCGUGAGAUGUUGGGUUAAGUCCCGCAACGAGCGCAACCCUCACUUUUAGUUGCCAUCAUUAAGUUGGGCACUCUGAAAGAACUGCCAGUGAUAAGCUGGAGGAAGGUGGGGAUGACGUCAAGUCCUCAUGGCCCUUACGUGUUGGGCUACACACGUGCUACAAUGGUAUCUACAACAGGAAGCAAGACUGCGAGGUCAAGCAAAUCCUUAAAAGAUACCUCAGUUCGGAUU